RNAcentral lists this ribosomal RNA (497 nucleotides) under uncultured bacterium. RNAcentral describes it as "partial 16S ribosomal RNA". It matches the Rfam family "Bacterial small subunit ribosomal RNA", at positions 28 to 507 of the family's 1533-position model. The record is from RNAcentral.
GAUGAACGCUGGCGGCGUGCCUAAUACAUGCAAGUCGAGCGAACGGACGAGAAGCUUGCUUCUCUGAUGUUAGCGGCGGACGGGUGAGUAACACGUGGAUAACCUACCUAUAAGACUGGGAUAACUUCGGGAAACCGGAGCUAAUACCGGAUAAUAUUUUGAACCGCAUGGUUCAAAAGUGAAAGACGGUCUUGCUGUCACUUAUAGAUGGAUCCGCGCUGCAUUAGCUAGUUGGUAAGGUGACGGCUUACCAAGGCAACGAUGCAUAGCCGACCUGAGAGGGUGGUCGGCCACCCUGGAACUGAGACACGGUCCAGACUCCUACGGGAGGCCGCAGUAGGGAAUCUUCCGCGAUGGGGGAAAGCCUGACGGAGCAACGCCGCGUGAGUGAUGAAGGUCUUCGGAUCGUAAAACUCUGUUAUUAGGGAAGAACAUAUGUGUAAGUAACUGUGCACAUCUUGACGGUACCUAAUCAGAAAGCCACGGCUAACUACGUG